Oreochromis niloticus (Nile tilapia) is the source of this 1605-nucleotide long non-coding RNA. The record is from Ensembl. NCBI's taxonomy places the organism in Eukaryota, Metazoa, Chordata, Actinopteri, Cichliformes, Cichlidae.
AUGGAAUGUAAACUUCAGAACAUGAAGAAACAAAAUAAAGUCUUGCAAGUAAAGCUUAACGAAGCACUGCACAGAAAUGCAGAAAUGGUUCACGAUGAAAGUCUCAUGAACCAACAAGACGAAGAAAAUAAAAAGACACAAAACCAGCCCAACGUAGCUAUUGAAAAUAAGGGCUGGGAAAUAAUCUUUAUUGAAGAUCCGCAGCAUACUGUAAGCCUGAUGACAACAAACAAGCAGAACUGCGACCAGUUAAGAAAAAUGUCCCACCAGCUUCAACAAACAGAAGCUAUUAAUCAGGAGCUCUAUGGGAAUCUCCAAGACACUGAGUACAAGAAUCUGCAGCUUCAAGUAAAACUUGAUGAAGCCCUGGAGAAAAACAAAGAGUUUCUUCAGGAGAAACAGCAACAGGAAAAAAUGCACAAAAAGACACAACUUAUUCUCCAAGACUUAGAAAGGAAAAAUCUACAACUACACGGAUGUUCUAAUGAAAUGAAGGAGAAAAUCAUGGAACUAGAAGGAGAAAGGGAAAAACUGAAAAAACAAUGCUCAGGCAUGCAGUCUACUUUGAUUGAAAUGCUAAGAAAGAACUCAGAGCUUGAGGAACAUAAUAACAACUUAAAAUGCAAAGGCAGUGAAAUGCUAAAAAAGAACUCAGAGCUUGAGGAACUUAAUAACAGAUUAAAAUACAAAAACGAUGAAAUCCUGAGAAAGAACACAGUGCUCAAGGAACAUAAUAACAACUUAAAAUACAAAUACAGUGAAAUCCUAAAAAAGAACACAGAACUCGAGGAACUUAAUAACAACUUAAAAUACAAAAACAAGAAAAUGCCCAGGGAAAACACAGAACUCGAGGAACUUAAUAAGAACUUAAAGUACAAAAACAAGAAAAUGCUCAGGGAAAACACAGAACUCGAGGAACUUAAUAAGAACUUAAAGUACAAAAACAAGAAAAUGCUCAGGGAAAACACAGAGCUUGAGGAAAUUAAUAAGAACUUAAAAUACAAAAACAACGAAAUGCUGAGAAAGAACACAGUGCUCGAGGAACUUCAUAACAACUUAAAAUACAAAAACAAGAAAAUGCUCAGGGAAAACAUAGAACUCGAGGAAACGAAUAAGAACCUAAAGUGCAAAAACUAUGAAAUGCUCAGGGAAAACAUAGAACUCGAGGAAACGAAUAAGAACCUAAAGUGCAAAAGGUAUGAUAUGCUCAGGGAAAACAGAGAACUCGAGGAACUUAAUAAGAACUUAAGCUACAAAAACAACAAAAUGCUUAGGGAAAACACUGAGCUCAAGAAACUUAAUCAGAACCUAAAAUACAAAACCAAUGAAACGCCCAGGAAAAACACAGAGCUCGAGAAACUUAAUUACAACUUAAAAUGCAGAAACAAGGAAAUGCUGAGAAAGAACACGGAGCUCGAGAAACUUCUUAAGAACUUAAAAUACCAAAACAAUGAAAUGCUGAGGAAAAACACAGAGCUCGAGAAAGUUAAUAAGAACUUAAAAUGCAGAAACAAGGAAAUGCUCAGGAAAAACGCAGAGCUCGAGAGACUUAAUAACAACUUAAAAUGCAAAAAAAAUGAAAUGCUCAGGAAAAACAGAACUUAA